Molecule: long non-coding RNA, 968 nt
Filed under: Capsella rubella
Lineage: Eukaryota; Viridiplantae; Streptophyta; Magnoliopsida; Brassicales; Brassicaceae
Description: long non-coding RNA (CRUB_LNC000744)
Source: RNAcentral
UAAAAUAUUUUUAGCUAUUAGUAUGCAGCUAAUCAACUCCAUUAUCAGUAGGCCUUUAGUUUCCUUUUUUAUACUUGUACCAAUCAGCUUUAUAUUAACAGUUUUAUAAGACCAAACACCUAAAAUAAACAAAGAAAAUAAGAUUCCCAACCAAAAAAAAAAUUAAAAAUUAAAAAAAAGGGGAACUAUAAGUGUGAAGGAAAGUGGUGGUUGUUAGGUGGUUCAACCAAACGCUGCCAACCCUUUAAAACGGCGUUUUCAUCCAUCUUGCGUUUUCCCUCUUCAACAGUAAAAUAUCGUCAUUACGGAGGGUAUUAAAGUCAUUUAAAGAGCAGAAAGGUCGAAAACGUGGUGACACUUCUGUACUGUCUCUCUACACGUGGCAGGUGCAUUGGGAAGACAAUUGUUUUUCUCGGUUACUGUUACUGUGGGUGGUGGUGGUGAGGUCACCGGAUUUUCCGGUUCCCGGUUAAAGCUAUUAUCCCAACUGAAACCCAUUGGUCCAUUGUUAAUUUCACUUUUCUUAUAUUUUUUUUUGUUUUUUGUUUUUUGGUGUUUUUUUUUUUUUUUUUUUUUUUUUUGUCGUCUUGGUGUUUUAAAAAUAAAACUGUGAUGAGUUAGGUUUGGGUUAUAAUGAUUAGUUUUGUGAAGUCAGCGAAAACGAAAGCUGUACCAAUAUGGAUCAGCUUCAUUAACCGGUUUGGAUCCUCCGGUUUAACUACUCUACAAGACUAUAACCGGCUCUGCUAGGAUUUUUUUAUUUAUUUUAUCUUUUCCAAAUUUGUGUAGUGGUUAGAAUAUUCGACUAGACCCACCCAAGAAAUAUUCACUUGUUGUUGUUAUGAGUUUAAAACUAAAAUCAUAUUUGAAUGACAUGACAAAAAAAACUUUGGACAUUUUAAAUUGCCUUUUGUCUCUUAUUUAAUUGACCUUCUUUUCUUCACAUACCAUAUUAUCUUUUAGUUUAU